ACACGUAGGGGGCAAGCGUUGUCCGGAAUUACUGGGCGUAAAGGGCGUGUAGGCGGCCGAUCAAGUCAGGUGUGAAAUUUCAGGGCUCAACCCUGAGCGUGCACUUGAAACUGGUAGGCUUGAGUGCAGAAGAGGAAAGUGGAAUUCCCAGUGUAGCGGUGAAAUGCGUAGAUAUUGGGAGGAACACCAGUGGCGAAGGCGACUUUCUGGUCUGCAACUGACGCUGAGGCGCGAAAGCUAGGGGAGCAAACAGGAUUAGAUACCCUGGUAGUCCUAGCCGUAAACGAUGGGUACUAGGUGUAGGGGGUUUAGACGCCCUCUGUGCCGCAGUUAACACAUUAAGUACCCCGCCUGGGGAGUACGGCCGCAAGGCUGAAACUCAAAGGAAUUGACGGGG
RNAcentral lists this ribosomal RNA (397 nucleotides) under uncultured bacterium. RNAcentral's name for it is "partial 16S ribosomal RNA". It matches the Rfam family "Bacterial small subunit ribosomal RNA", at positions 523 to 918 of the family's 1533-position model. The record is from RNAcentral.